GUGUGUGGAAAGUAUUUUGCAAACCUUAAAGUGCUAUAUAAAUGCCUGUUGUUAUUAUUUUAUCUCCUUUUUAAAAUGAGGGAGAAGUAAGUUUAUAGUUCAGAGAAAUAGGAGAGAAUACUUCUGACAAACAACAGAUAAACAAACAGGUCAUGAAAUCUUCCAAAGGAGGGUAUGAUAUAUGUUAAGCCUCCAAUUUGUUAGAAAGGAUAAGGUUCAAAUUAAGAUGGGGCAAAGAAAAUAAUCUGAUAGGUUAAUUUUAGUUCAUAAUGAAGAUGUCAGGAUACUAAAAUCAGCACUUAAGCAUGACUGUGUUGCUGUUCAGGAUAUACAUCAGAACUGCAGAAUGGCAAAUGAAGAUAAAGAUGAAACAUUAAUACCAUGUGAAAGAAGGGAAUGCUAUCAUAUCCAAACACUACAGCUAUUAAAUGAAGUAAAUGCUGCUAGAUUUUUUUUUAAAAGGAAGAACUGGAUCUCUUGCAAAAAAGAAAUGUCGUGGUAUUUACCCAUCUGGAUGCUGCUUGAAAACAAAUUGUCCUCCAAAGAGCAGAAAUACAGGUCCUGUCAUUAACAGAAGAUGACAACUAAGUCAUUUUUCUUUCUGCUGACAAUUGUGACAUUUUUCCAGCAGCGUGCAAGGUGUUGAAAACCUGGCAGCUGUUACCUCCUGGGAUGAAGCUACUUUUUUAUCCUCCCUUGACAGUUUAACUCAGUGGGUCAGCACCUUUAAAGACUGCAAAGUAUCCUUGAAGAGGAUGGAGGCUUGAAUUACUGCUCCCUCCCUAAUCAAUGUAAACCCUCACUGCAGGUGAACUCUCCUUCUAUAGAGGUGCAUGGGGGAGGAAAAUGUAAUGCCCUGAGCCAGAUGGUUUUUAUCUUGUUUUUAAAGAAUAAAGGAACUAGCUAACAAGGGGGACAGCUACUUUGUUAGCAUCUUGGCCUCUCUCAUGGCUUUGCAUCCCCAGGGUUCCAGCCACACAAGAGAAAGAAUACAGAAAAACGUAAAUACUUAAAGAAAUAUAACUAGAGGGCUGGCAUCAUGCUGCUUUCAAAGAGUUUCGAGAACUCUGUUGAAUGCUUUAUUUAUCACUGCCCACGUUCUCAAGAUGGUAAGUGGACACAUAUACAAAGGGCAGGGGGGUGGAGGAAGGAUUCGACAGCGGUCACAAUUUACUCAAUUACAGAGAAAGGCUGGGCUGACAG
Monodelphis domestica (gray short-tailed opossum) is the source of this 1203-nucleotide long non-coding RNA. RefSeq lists it as uncharacterized. The record is from RefSeq and is a predicted model, not a curated record. Lineage: Eukaryota; Metazoa; Chordata; Mammalia; Didelphimorphia; Didelphidae.